Molecule: ribosomal RNA, 467 nt
Filed under: uncultured bacterium
Lineage: Bacteria
Description: bacterial SSU rRNA
Rfam family: Bacterial small subunit ribosomal RNA
Source: RNAcentral
CGCUGGCGGCGUGCCUAACACAUGCAAGUCGAGCGAGGAGAUCCUUCGGGAUGAUCCUAGCGGCGGACGGGUGAGUAACACGUGGGCAACCUGCCUCAUAGAGAGGAAUAGCCUUCCGAAAGGGAGAUUAAUACCUCAUAACAUUGCAGUUUCGCAUGGAACAGCAAUUAAAGGAGCAAUCCGCUAUGAGAUGGGCCCGCGGCGCAUUAGCUAGUUGGUGAGGUAACGGCUCACCAAGGCGACGAUGCGUAGCCGACCUGAGAGGGUGAUCGGCCACAUUGGGACUGAGACACGGCCCAGACUCCUACGGGAGGCAGCAGUGGGGAAUAUUGCACAAUGGGGGAAACCCUGAUGCAAGCAACGCCGCGUGAGUGAUGACGGCCUUCGGGUUGUAAAGCUCUGUCUUCAGGGACGAUAAUGACGGUACCUGAGGAGGAAGCCACGGCUAACUACGUGCCAGCCGCAGC